GGGAAUAUUGGACAAUGGGGGCAACCCUGAUCCAGCAAUGCCGCGUGUGUGAAGAAGGUCUUCGGAUUGUAAAGCACUUUCGACGGGGACGAUGAUGACGGUACCCGUAGAAGAAGCCCCGGCUAACUUCGUGCCAGCAGCCGCGGUAAUACGAAGGGGGCUAGCGUUGCUCGGAAUGACUGGGCGUAAAGGGCGCGUAGGCGGCUUGUACAGUCAGAUGUGAAAUUCCUGGGCUUAACCUGGGGGCUGCAUUUGAUACGUGCGGGCUAGAGUGUGAAAGAGGGUCGUGGAAUUCCCAGUGUAGAGGUGAAAUUCGUAGAUAUUGGGAAGAACACCGGUGGCGAAGGCGGCGACCUGGUUCAUGACUGACGCUGAGGCGCGAAAGCGUGGGGAGCAAACA
RNAcentral lists this ribosomal RNA (400 nucleotides) under uncultured bacterium. RNAcentral describes it as "bacterial SSU rRNA". It matches the Rfam family "Bacterial small subunit ribosomal RNA", at positions 357 to 774 of the family's 1533-position model. The record is from RNAcentral.